ACUUUAUUAAAUUUAUUUAAGAAGUUCAAUAGUACCUAUGUUUUGUUUUUAGAGUUGUUUUGUGUUGAUUUAUGAUUAACAACAGAAAAUACAUUACUUCAACAAAUGUUAGUUUUUUACACAUAAAAGUUAUGUAAAAUCUCCUAUGAAAUGGUUCAUCUAAGUCUAAUUCCCUUCAGGAUGCCUGUUACAAAGAAAAACUGAAGAAACUUUAAAACUAGAUAAUGGUAACUGAAGAAGUUGAUACAUCGUUAUUGAUGGUUUUAUAUCGAGGCUUCAGUUCUCCAAAUCCCUGUUGGAUGCCUGUUACACAGAAAAACUGAAGAAACUUUGAAACUAGAUGAUGGCAACUGAAGAAGUUGAAACACCGUUAUUCAUGGUGUCAUAUUGAAGCUUCAGUUCUCUAUGUAAAAGUGGAUGAAACACUAAAGAAGCGAAACGAUAAACUUUAAAGCAAAAUUUUGUCAUGCGAUUAUGGUGGCGAUAUCAGAGAACUAAUGGGGCAGAAUUUUACUAUCGUAGAACAGUUUUGCAUCAAAUCAUUGUAUAAUAUUAGUAUUUUGUUGCUUAAAGUUAUUAUGAAAUUCAAA
Hydra vulgaris (swiftwater hydra) is the source of this 590-nucleotide long non-coding RNA. RefSeq lists it as uncharacterized. The record is from RefSeq and is a predicted model, not a curated record. NCBI's taxonomy places the organism in Eukaryota, Metazoa, Cnidaria, Hydrozoa, Anthoathecata, Hydridae.